This 212-nucleotide long non-coding RNA is filed under the name Solanum tuberosum (potato). RNAcentral describes it as "long non-coding RNA (STUB_LNC006091)". The record is from RNAcentral. Lineage: Eukaryota; Viridiplantae; Streptophyta; Magnoliopsida; Solanales; Solanaceae.
AAUCCAGAAAUAUCACUUUGAGGAAAUUCGCGAAUUCGAGGUUGAUGAGGACCUCUUUGGAUAUAUGCUCGUCUAAUCUCAUCACGUUCAUCCGGAUGAUAGUCUCGAAUGGGUAUUCUUUUCUUUGGAUCAGCCGGUAAAGAAUCCAAAUCUACCCCUUGUUUCAAUCUUUUAGCGGAAUGAUGAGUUUCUUCUAAUUGGUUCAAGUUUUC